GUAAUAUAUCGGAACGUGCCCAGUCGUGGGGGAUAACGUAGCGAAAGUUACGCUAAUACCGCAUACGAUCUAAGGAUGAAAGCGGGGGACCGUAAGGCCUCGCGCGAUUGGAGCGGCCGAUAUCAGAUUAGGUAGUUGGUGGGGUAAAGGCUCACCAAGCCAACGAUCUGUAGCUGGUCUGAGAGGACGACCAGCCACACUGGAACUGAGACACGGUCCAGACUCCUACGGGAGGCAGCAGUGGGGAAUUUUGGACAAUGGACGCAAGUCUGAUCCAGCCAUUUCGCGUGCAGGAUGAAGGCCCUCGGGUUGUAAACUGCUUUUGUACGGAACGAAAAGGUCUCUAUUAAUACUGGGGGCUCAUGACGGUACCGUAAGAAUAAGCACCGGCUAACUACGUGCCAGCAGCCGCGGUAAUAUGUAGGGUGCAAGCGUUAAUCGGAAUUACUGGGCGUAAAGCGUGCGCAGGCGGUUAUGUAAGACAGAGGUGAAAUCCCCGGGCUCAACCUGGGAACUGCCUUUGUGACUGCAUAGCUAGAGUACGGUAGAGGGGGAUGGAAUUCCGCGUGUAGCAGUGAAAUGCGUAGAUAUGCGGAGGAACACCGAUGGCGAAGGCAAUCCCCUGGACCUGUACUGACGCUCAUGCA
Molecule: ribosomal RNA, 647 nt
Filed under: uncultured bacterium
Lineage: Bacteria
Description: bacterial SSU rRNA
Rfam family: Bacterial small subunit ribosomal RNA
Source: RNAcentral